UCCUCCACCCGGUGGACCUCCUCGACCCGGCGUGCUGCCCUACCUCCGGUGUCAUCACCCCGUGUGGCCCGCAGCAUCUGAGGACAUAUGACUACUUUCUGACCUGCCAGCGCACAGGUUAGAUCAUUUGAAUUAGCAAAUAUAGAUGAUCAAGCAAAAGAUAAAAGGAAAUUGCUCUUUUAAUCUGACAAUCUGUAAUUUGUACUGUGAAAUUUGAUACUUACAGUACCUCAUGAUCUGCAUGACAAACUGAGUUGACAAUAUGGCAUCCUCUGAGCAUAGUGGGGCACUUACUCCCUUUCAGGACCUGACGAACAACGGGAAUUCAGGUAAAUACAUAUAUCACGUACUCUUACCUACUUCAAUCUUGUAAAUCCAGAAUAUGUCAUUGC
This 392-nucleotide long non-coding RNA is filed under the name Triticum aestivum (bread wheat). RNAcentral's name for it is "long non-coding RNA (TAES_LNC017370)". Lineage: Eukaryota; Viridiplantae; Streptophyta; Magnoliopsida; Poales; Poaceae. The record is from RNAcentral.